Molecule: long non-coding RNA, 5106 nt
Organism: Trachemys scripta elegans
Lineage: Eukaryota; Metazoa; Chordata; Testudines; Emydidae
Exons: 3
Source: RefSeq, a predicted model, not a curated record
GCAGGGUUAAUUCGAUUUAACGCUGCUAAAUUCGAAUUAAAUUCAGUGUAGACCAGGCCUCAGAGUCCAGCACUGACGGGAGUUUAUAUUGAAACCUUUUUGUAGGUGCCACUUCUGAGUUUGCCUCUGUGGGGCACACAACCUGUAUUGGGACUAUACAGGAUACCUAUACUAUACGACACCUCCAGCAGCUGCCACUAAGGCAGUGCACCCCCGCAGUCCCCACCCUAAUGUUGCUGUGGCUGCAAAAGCACACUCCUCUCCUUUAAUUGCCACCCUUGUGUUUAAGUCCUAGGCCCUUUGAGGCUUUCUUCAGCUUCAUUUGACCUUAAAGUUAUUUUAAAUUUGUAUUUCGUGUUUAUUCGUACGAUGUGUAAAGAUUUCUAAGAUGGGAAAAAGUGAGUUGUUAUGAUUUUAUUUUGGCAUCCCUUUUAACCAGUUUAAUUUCCUGUAGUCAGUCACUCUGACAUUUGAUCCCUGACCAGAUCCCUCAGUCUGUGUAUUAACAUGGGAAACCACGGCACUCCAAGUUUCAGUGCUGACAUUUAAGAAUUUGUUGUGUCUAGUUCUUGAUUGUGCAGUCUAAAAGAGAUCCUUAGAUGGCAAUAUUGAUAAAUCUUCAAGUUCUGGCUUUGAAAAGUUAUAAUUAUGCAAAACUACUAAAGGAGAGAGUUCCACAAACUGCCAUGAACAUCAUAAUCCCAUUUGCAUUGACAAUAAUUAUCAAGAUACAUUUUACAAAGGAAAAUCCAAUGUCUGGAGCCAACAAGUUACCAAAAAAGAGCAUCUUGCUUCAAUAGUUAAUUAAAUCAGCUAUUCCAAAAGAUUUGUAUCUGACAUACAUUCUUAGGGUUAUCUCAUGUAUGAAUCUCUGUAGGUAUCUUGUUUUAUUCUCCUGAUGGGCUCCAAACAUCUGAUGGGGGAAGACCUUAAAAGUUUGUGUUCUUUAUUCACUGGUACUUUUAUCAGAACAUUACAUGAAGAUUAGAACACAGAUAGAUUACUGAGGAUAAAGAAAUAAAAUGUCCAUCACAGAGGGAUUUAAUGACUCUGGGGACUGGUACUAUGAUAUAGGUACAGCCUUUUGCCAUUAGGUAAUUGGUUAGAAUCCAGCCCAUGUUGCUAGUGACUGGAAGUCAUUACUAGAUGAUGUAUUUUUAGUGGCCUAUGUGAAAUGAGUUGGUGAUCUCAGUCCAGUUCCUAGCUAGGCAGUAGUCUGUAUCACACAAAUGACCCUUUCCUGCUUUUUGCAGAUCCUUUCCUACUUUUAACAUCCCUAUUUUACAGAUGGAAAAAAUGAGGCACAGAAAGGUUAGCAAGUUAAUGCAGAGACCAAGAAUAUGACCCAUAAGUGCUGGCUCACAAUUCCUUCCUCCAGAAACCACACCUUCAAAUUUUCCCUUUUCCUUUCUCCAAAACAUGUCUGUCCAUUAACCAUGCCCCCUCCAUCACCAGAUCAAGAGUGCAAUUCCCGCAGCUGAUCACAUAAAAGCUCUUCAAAUGUGUUAUUCUGAAAUGAAUGAAGGAUGCUACCUGUCUUGAAAAUUGGAGAUGGUCCUGAUUUUGGAACAUUUUGCACUCUUUUCGUAAAAGGGAAGUUCCAAUAAAGAAUGGAAUGGAAUGGAAGGUGGGGGUGGAGGGAAGGCAAAUAUUUAGAUUUCAUCUCAUAGCAUUUAAAAUCUUGUGGUCUGAUCCUCAGCUGGUGUAAAUAAAUACAGCUCUUUUAAGGACAAUGGAUCGAUUUAUGCCAGAUAACUAUCUAGCUCCUGAAUAGGUGGGUGGACUACGCUCUCCUUUUCACCUCAAGUUCUCGUAAGCCCUUUUGUAACGAGUAAUCUUUUUAUUUUUGCUGUAUGUUUUCAAAAGGAUGACAACUAAUAUGCUUGAAUCAGUAACUUUAAAAUAGAGGCUGAAAAUGAAUAUUUUAAUAUGUCUUUCACACUUUGAGCCAAUUCAUAAUGUGCAUGAUGUCUUGGAAUACUUUGAUAAGCAUGUGUCUGAUUAUAAAAAAACCUAUGUCUGAUUUGUGAAGCAUAGUAAUCCAUCAGACAGCCACCCACUCCAUAAUUUCCUAUAGAAAUAUGUACAAGUGCACUACUUAUGUAUGGGACACAGUCAUAGAUUUGUCAUGGGUUGAUUAGUAAAUACAGAGUGACAGUGCUAAAGCACAUAUUCCAUCAGCAUGGAACUGUGGAAAGAAGAAUUAUUUAUUAUUAUUCUAAGAUGUUAUUUGUGCCUGGCACAACCAGUGACAGACUUGUUCCCUUUUUUCUCUUAUGAUUAUCAGUCAAUAAAAGAAAAACAAGCCUGCUUGUUCUGUAUUAACUGGCAAAUCUAUCAUGACAUUUUAAGUAUACCAUGACAUGUCCAUAUUGGGGCAUUCAGUUGCCUUGCCAUAUAAUUAAAUACACAAAUGAAACUGUCCUGUAAUUUUUAAAUCCUAGAAAUUAAGCAUUCCCCGAGGGGAGAAUUGGGUGUGCUACUAGAAUUCUAAUCUAUUCUGUUUUCAUUACACCAUAUAAGUAGGCAUAUAAAUUGAAUUAUGAUGGGUUGAAGACUGGUAAGUAUUUCUAAGGAGCCAAUGGCUCUGAGUGUAUCAAAUAAUUUUAGAAGACAGAAAAAAUAUUGCAUUUUUCUAUUAAAUAUUCAACAGGUGGUCCAAGAUGCUGCUAGUAGGGUGAAUGCUAAACGAUUCACCCCAUGCAGGGUGUUAUCAGCUUGUUAUAUUGCCCUCAUUUUAAAGAUGGGUACACUGAGGCAGAGAAGUGACUUGUAAGUAGCUACACAGUGAGCCACCAGUGAAGACUUGAGCAGUACUGACAGGGUCCUAAGCCUCGCUCCCAUCCUUAUUCCUUUAGGUUGUACUGUCUCUCAAGCAGAUAUACUGUCUAGCAGACAGCGGAAGAGAAGAACAGCACUGAGAAGAGAAUCUCUGAGGACAGGAAUGUUGGCAGCAGGCCCAGUUACUCAAUGUGCACUCAGUGCACUUGCACAAGGCCCCAUCUUGGGCCAGGAAAGGGGCGGGGCAUCAUAGGGGGUGAGGGGCAGAGGAGGGCUCAUUCUGCCUCGUGUGGCAAAGCCCACAGGCUGGAGCAGGGAACCAGACCAGACCUAUGGGACAGGAGCCUGUGGGUGAUUGCAGCCAGGCAGGCUCACUUUCCAACACCUCAGGGGCUCCCACCCUGUGGGGCAGGACCUUACUGUCUCCCAUCCCCCCAGGGGCAAGGAAGGUGUGCAGAGGCCCAAUUUCCAUUGUGCAUAGGCCCCAAAAUUCUUUAAUCCGGGCGCUGGCUGGCAGGAGGCCUGUGGAAAGAAGGGCCGAUGGAAGGGUGGAGUUACUGUGAUGCACUGAUGGUAAGCUUAAAGCACAGGAUACAGUGGAUGUCCAAAAGCAUCUAGAUUUGUUAUAGAAUCAAAAGGAAAACAAAUAGACAUAACUAAUUUUAAUACAGCAGGCUCUGUAAAACUCAUAAGAUCGGGAUUCCUGGCCCUCUACAAGACAGGAAUUCAAUCAUCUUUCCUAAGAGCUACUUCCUAUGGGAUUCCUUAAUCACUUUUGAACUCCCCAGUGUGGGGCCAAACUGCAAUAGGAACCUCUCCCAGCAUGCUUUCCAGGUAGCUGGCCCUUUACAUUUGGGAGCAACAAGCAGCUGUAGUCCUAAAAUGGCCAUUAUAUGUUUGACUGCUGAAGGCGAACACCUCUUUUCCUUCCGGAGGUAAGUAUCUUUUUUUUCUCCUUUUCUAAUUCUUGAAGAGAUGGUUUGUCCCCAGAGUUACCUGCCACCACCUUGUUAACAACUAGGUUUUAAACCUUAGACAUCAGUUAAUCAAAGUUUCCCCUCCCCCUGAAUUCAGAAGAAAGGUACAACUUCAUUGCUCUAAGGUCUAACAGCUGUUCUGAGUUUUUCCAUGCUUUAUUUUUCAAGGAAUUUAUUUCAGAAUUAGAAAUAACUGGUGAUAUUAGUAGGGAGGCUGCAGAAAACAAAGCAGAAGAAAGGCCAUGCUACAUCAUCCCCUCUGUUGAUGCAGAGGCUGGUGGAUCUCACAUAUAAGCUCAAAUUUCCAGGGGGAACACAAAGGGAGAGAGAGACUAGACUGGGGAUUAAAGUGAAUCUUAAUUCAGGAGCAUCACUGAAGGUUAAAACCCAGGGAGCUCUUUUUCAGCCAGCAGGUUGUUGAAUCUGAAAUUGAAAAUAAAAAUCUCCUUUUUUCCCCUUUUGAACUUUGGUUUAAAAAACAUCAGAACACCUUUUUUUCUAUUGAUUGUUUUUGUCCACAGCCCAGUGACUGCAGGCUCCAAAACUUGGGUUUUCUCUCACCCCAUUAAAACAAGUGUGUCCUGAGCCCCUCAACUUCAGCAACCUAAGCAAAAUGGAAGGCUUUAAGGAUUUCAUCCAGAGACGUUUCUAGGGUGCUUUUCUCAAAUUUAAAUCUAUGAAAUCUCACUCACCCAGGUGGAAAAGACCCAUAGCCUCUGAAAUUAUAUAAAACAAGCUUUUAUGAUGGACUUCAUGUUACUUUAAUGGUGGUGAAUGUAGCUGGCUGAACACCCCUUGAGACUGAAGCCCCCACUUUGCUACCAGGACACUUACAGCUCAGUGGGUUCACAAGGUUGCAGACCUGUAUGUGGUGUCUUCCUGCUUAGAGAGGUGUCUACAGGCACUGUGCAGCCAAUCAGCACUUGAAGCUGUGGUUCUGCCUACCAGGGAAAGGUAAGAGAGUGUAUAUUAGUGCUUUCCAGUAAUAAAUAAUAGUUAGCAUUUAUAAAGCACUUUAUGGAACCAAACCGUAAGGUAAAUUGGUUGGUGAGAUUUUAUUAACUGCAUGAGCAUCCUUCUCAGGCUGAUUCAAAUUGAGUUGCACCAGUUUAAGCCUUUGCUGAAUUAGACCUCAAAACGCUCUACAAACAUUAUAGUUUAAGAUUAGAAAAAAGUGAAAUGUCUCAGAUAUAUGAUAAGCCUUCUAGAUGGGCUUCCUAUUGCAUACACUCAUGGCAUCUCAGAUGGAGGGGUGCUUGGAUGUCUGGACCAUCCUAAGGUAAAAUUAUGAGAAGAUGGCAGGCAGGAUUUACCAUGAGUUUGGGAUAGACUUGUGGAGUGAUUUGCG